Molecule: small nucleolar RNA, 135 nt
Organism: Cervus hanglu yarkandensis (Yarkand deer)
Lineage: Eukaryota; Metazoa; Chordata; Mammalia; Artiodactyla; Cervidae
Gene: SNORA71
Rfam family: Small nucleolar RNA SNORA71
About the family: The members of this family belong to the H/ACA class of snoRNAs which bind a number of proteins (including dyskerin, Gar1p and Nop10p) to form snoRNP complexes. This class of snoRNAs are thought to guide the sites of modification of uridines to pseudouridines by forming direct base pairing interactions with substrate RNAs.
Source: Ensembl
CCCUACAUUCGAAAGUGAUCGUGGGCUGUCCGUGCAUUAGUCAUUGAUAGUGCAGGGAGAGGAAUUGCUGAAAGCAUUUUCCCCAUGUUUGGAGGGUUCACGCCUAUCCCUUCUGAACUCGGGAGCUGUCACACA